Molecule: ribosomal RNA, 770 nt
Filed under: Bacillus amyloliquefaciens
Lineage: Bacteria; Bacillati; Bacillota; Bacilli; Caryophanales; Bacillaceae
Description: bacterial SSU rRNA
Rfam family: Bacterial small subunit ribosomal RNA
Source: RNAcentral
UGUUAGCGGCGGACGGGUGAGUAACACGUGGGUAACCUGCCUGUAAGACUGGGAUAACUCCGGGAAACCGGGGCUAAUACCGGAUGGUUGUCUGAACCGCAUGGUUCAGACAUAAAAGGUGGCUUCGGCUACCACUUACAGAUGGACCCGCGGCGCAUUAGCUAGUUGGUGAGGUAACGGCUCACCAAGGCGACGAUGCGUAGCCGACCUGAGAGGGUGAUCGGCCACACUGGGACUGAGACACGGCCCAGACUCCUACGGGAGGCAGCAGUAGGGAAUCUUCCGCAAUGGACGAAAGUCUGACGGAGCAACGCCGCGUGAGUGAUGAAGGUUUUCGGAUCGUAAAGCUCUGUUGUUAGGGAAGAACAAGUGCCGUUCAAAUAGGGCGGCACCUUGACGGUACCUAACCAGAAAGCCACGGCUAACUACGUGCCAGCAGCCGCGGUAAUACGUAGGUGGCAAGCGUUGUCCGGAAUUAUUGGGCGUAAAGGGCUCGCAGGCGGUUUCUUAAGUCUGAUGUGAAAGCCCCCGGCUCAACCGGGGAGGGUCAUUGGAAACUGGGGAACUUGAGUGCAGAAGAGGAGAGUGGAAUUCCACGUGUAGCGGUGAAAUGCGUACAGAUGUGGAGGAACACCAGUGGCGAAGGCGACUCUCUGGUCUGUAACUGACGCUGAGGAGCGAAAGCGUGGGGAGCGAACACGAUUAGAUACCCUGGGAGUCCACGCCGCAUACGAUGAGUGCUAAAUGUUAAGGGGUUUGCGCCCCUUAGU